CCAGUCGGCCGGAUGGCCGCCGCCUCAGGGCGGAGGAAAGUCCGGGCUCCACAGAGAAACGGUGCCGGAUAACGUCCGGCGGGGGCGACCCUAGGGAAAGCGCCACAGAAAACAGACCGCCAUCCGGCUUGCGCCGGAGGUAAGGGUGAAACGGUGCGGUAAGAGCGCACCGCGCGCAUGGCGACAUGAGCGGCACGGCAAGCCCCACCGGGAGCAAAACCGAAUAGGGGCGACGCGGGGCGCAGGCCCCAGAUCCUUCUCUGGAUCGUCGCCCGGGUUGGUUGCUCGAGGCGGCCGGUAACGGCCGUCCCAGAGGAAUGGCCAUCGCGCGCCGCGGACUCCGCGGCGCCUUACAGAACCCGGCUUAAAGGCCGGCUGGCGCC
RNAcentral lists this RNase P RNA (383 nucleotides) under Methylocella silvestris BL2. Its description in RNAcentral is "Bacterial RNase P class A". It matches the Rfam family "Bacterial RNase P class A". Rfam says of the family: Ribonuclease P (RNase P) is a ubiquitous endoribonuclease, found in archaea, bacteria and eukarya as well as chloroplasts and mitochondria. Its best characterised activity is the generation of mature 5'-ends of tRNAs by cleaving the 5'-leader elements of precursor-tRNAs. Cellular RNase Ps are ribonucleoproteins. Lineage: Bacteria; Pseudomonadati; Pseudomonadota; Alphaproteobacteria; Hyphomicrobiales; Beijerinckiaceae. The record is from Rfam by way of RNAcentral.